This 503-nucleotide ribosomal RNA is filed under the name uncultured bacterium. RNAcentral's name for it is "partial 16S ribosomal RNA". It matches the Rfam family "Bacterial small subunit ribosomal RNA", at positions 28 to 523 of the family's 1533-position model. The record is from RNAcentral.
GAUGAACGCUAGCGGCAGGCCUAACACAUGCAAGUCGAGGGGUAGCAGGAUUAAGCUUGCUUAAUUGCUGACGACCGGCGCACGGGUGCGUAACGCGUAUGCAACCUACCUUAUACUGGGGUAUAGCCCGGAGAAAUUCGGAUUAAUCCCCCAUAGUACUAAUGAAUCGCAUGGUUUAUUAGUUAAAGCAUUGCGGUAUAAGAUGGGCAUGCGUCCUAUUAGCUAGAUGGUGAGGUAACGGCUCACCAUGGCUACGAUAGGUAGGGGGCCUGAGAGGGUGGGCCCCCACACUGGUACUGAGACACGGACCAGACUCCCACGGGAGGCAGCAGUGAGGAAUAUUGGUCAAUGGGCGCAAGCCUGAACCAGCCAUGCCGCGUGCAGGAAGAAUGCCCUAUGGGUUGUAAACUGCUUUUAUUUGGGAAUAAACCUCUUUACGUGUAGAGAGCUGAAGGUACCAAAUGAAUAAGCACCGGCUAACUCCGUGCCAGCCGCCGCAGUAA